Manihot esculenta (cassava) is the source of this 2070-nucleotide RNA transcript. RefSeq lists it as uncharacterized. The record is from RefSeq and is a predicted model, not a curated record. The transcript is spliced from 12 exons. NCBI's taxonomy places the organism in Eukaryota, Viridiplantae, Streptophyta, Magnoliopsida, Malpighiales, Euphorbiaceae.
CCAUAAGUUUUCUCAUGCAGCUGAAACUCACCGGAUAAUUCCUCUAACUACCAUUCCUUGAUUUGGCGUCUUCCCUGUUCUGUGUCAGGGAUCCGAAGCAAAGAAUCGGAUCAGCAAAUGCUCGCGCCAGUUUUUUUUGUUCCAUCGAAACGUUUUUUUAUUCUCUGUAUUAAAUUGAUUUAGGUUCAUUAUCAAUUAGCAUCACGUACCACGAACUGCUAUCAGAUUCACAAACGGAGAUGCUAAGUGAUGGAGAAGAUACCCCUUCCAGGCAUGAAUUGUUGAGUAUGGUUAAGAAGCACUCCGCCCUGCUAGGGAAAGGCACCCUCGACGAACGAGAUGCCUCUGAUGUUGAAAUGGAUUGCCGCUUUUGGUAUGAUAUGUUAGAUUUGUACUUUAUCCGUUGUAAAGAGUCAAGGGGACGGCAGGAUGACGAUCUCGUAUUUUUUGUCAGAAACAUGGGCACAGAAGGAUAUGGUUUGAAUGAUACUGUGCAGGACCUCCCUCCUUACUUUGUACGCAGGUGGGCACCUAAGUUGGAGAAUUUGAUCAGUGAGAAUUCAAAGGAGGUAGAUUGGAGGCGCUCAUUUUAUUUGAAUUUAAUUGCACACACGUCUUUCACAGUAACAGUUGCAAUUUGCAGUCAUCAGGUCCUUCGUAAUCAUCAAGCUGGGCAAGAUACACCAUUAUCUCCCAUAUACAAGGUUGUAAAAACAGUGUAUGCAUCACCAAGUCGUGUAGAUUUUCAAUUGGACUCAAAAAAGGAACAAGAGACAACUCCCGCCUAUCCAGAUAUCUGUUUUGCAGUAGAUGAUUUUGACUCCACUUUUGAUGCAGUGGUCUUGACAGAAACAGACCACUGUUACUGUGUACUUCUCAAUGCACAUGAUGGAGCAGCAUUUCCCAGUGAAAAAGAGUCACCUGAUAACAGUUCCAGUGGUAAUACCCCUCUUAAUGUUGAUAGUAACUCUGGAAAGACGAAGAAUUCUAAGCUCACUCUUUUCUCUGGGUUCGUAAGCUAUCAAAUGGUUCGGGAAGCAUAUGAUGCUGGGAAGUCUCGAUUUGGCAGUCUCCUUUCACUUGGUUAUUCUCCUGGCAAAGCAGAUAAACUGUACAUGAAGGGCCCAGGUGGAAGGGGGGAGGUUGAAGUAGCUGUCUCUGGGGUUGCUGAUCAUUGCUAAUGAUUCCAGUUGUGGACACAGCCUUAUGCAAGAGUUGGGGAAAGACUGCUAAUGGUAGUCAAUCCUCCCCAACCCUUGCAAAGAGGGGAGCCUCAUGCACGUGGCACAUCUCCUUUCAGUAAAUUUACUCAAUGAAGUGAAUGGGCGUGUACAAAUCUGUAAUACAUGGGCUAAAUCUAGGAUUUGCUGUAUCAGAUCAAAGCCAGCAAGAUUUUGGCCCCUUUUCACCAGUUACAUCAAAGAGAGGUUUUGGAAUUGGCUCAAUUGUUCGAAAAGCUGCAUCUGUUGCAUCUGUGGCAGCAAAGCAUGCCUAUGCUGCUGCUGCCUCUACAAGUUCUGAUGAUGAGAUGUUGCCCCUUAAGUGCUGCUUGAUGUCCAUAUCAUUGCCCUGGGAACAUAUUGCUUAUGAUCUUUUGUUCAAGGGAAGUCCUCCAGUGAACUUGUAAACAUCUAAGCAUAUCUAUCACCUAAAAACGCAAAAUAGGCGCGCACAGUGUGGAAGAAAACAACCAGUGGAAGUGAUAACAGUUGCCGGUGUUGCACAACUCUAUCGUAAACAAAGCUAUACAUUAAAGUUCUUCCUUUCUCUUUGCAACUUUUGGUGUCGGGUGACACGGCUUUGCCGGAAAUAUUGUAUGUUAUCUAUAACAAAGUGUUAGUUCAUUGGUAUCGGGUACAUUGUUCUGUAAGCUGCAAAAGGGAUGUUCCCGGAACAUUAACAGUUGUAGUGUAGAUAGAUGCUGUCGCAGUAUGAUUUAAGAUGUCAUGCGGUGAAUGAAGUGUUGAAACACUCAACUUGGUUAUUGCCAAGUUUACAUUUUAGUUGGCUUGAUAUUUCCUUUAUUGUUUACCCUUUUGCUUAAUGCAAUGAAUUUAUUACUUUUCCGUU